UACGUAGGGUGCAAGCGUUGUCCGGAAUUAUUGGGCGUAAAGAGCUUGUAGGCGGUUUGUCGCGUCUGCUGUGAAAUUUCGGGGCUCAACCCCGAACUUGCAGUGGGUACGGGCAGACUAGAGUGUGGUAGGGGAGACUGGAAUUCCUGGUGUAGCGGUGAAAUGCGCAGAUAUCAGGAGGAACACCGAUGGCGAAGGCAGGUCUCUGGGCCAUUACUGACGCUGAGGAGCGAAAGCGUGGGGAGCGAACAGG
This 253-nucleotide ribosomal RNA is filed under the name uncultured bacterium. Its description in RNAcentral is "partial 16S ribosomal RNA". It matches the Rfam family "Bacterial small subunit ribosomal RNA", at positions 524 to 776 of the family's 1533-position model. The record is from RNAcentral.